GAUUUUGACUUAGUUGUUGUUUGCUUUGUUAUUUUGGCACAGCUGUUCAGAGCAAAACGUGCUGUCACUACACCCAUUGGUAUACUGAUGAAGAGACGAGGAUCAGCUAAGCCACAUCAAACCUUUUCAGUGUGCCACGUCUCUUUGAAAAAGGAUGUACAGAGUUCAAAAUGUGCUGUGAAAAUGUUGCAAACUCUUGCGUAGACUGGCAUUUUGUCUCUACCAAAAAGAAAAAGACGAAACCUCCACUGGCUUCACUGCUCUACUGUAUGCUGUCUGAUGAUGUGGCUACCAGAAUCAAAAGCAACUUUCUGCUUCACAGUUGAGGUAGAAAACUAAGAAGCACUGAAAAGGUUAAAUAUAUGGCUAGGUCUUUGGGUAUACACAUGGUAUAAAGUCACACAGCGG
RNAcentral lists this long non-coding RNA (408 nucleotides) under Numida meleagris (helmeted guineafowl). RNAcentral's name for it is "lncRNA (ENSNMEG00000014378.1)". The record is from RNAcentral. Lineage: Eukaryota; Metazoa; Chordata; Aves; Galliformes; Numididae.